Oxyura jamaicensis (ruddy duck) is the source of this 823-nucleotide long non-coding RNA. RefSeq lists it as uncharacterized. The transcript has 3 exons. NCBI's taxonomy places the organism in Eukaryota, Metazoa, Chordata, Aves, Anseriformes, Anatidae. The record is from RefSeq and is a predicted model, not a curated record.
UGUAAGAUGAACACCCUAACAUGUCAGAGUUAGGGAGUAACACAGAGGAACUGACCUGCUCACGGGGGGAGUUUUCCAGGCUGAAAUUCUGAUGCUCAAGGAAGCGUGAACAUCAGAGAUGCUGCUAGGCCUUUCAACACUUUUGAGAUAGACAAGGAUUUUCUGCUGCAUCUGUUCAAAGCCACCUAACACGGGGUGGCCCUGAAGCAGAGCAGGACUGAAGGUAAAAUCAUCAAAGGACCCAUCAAUUUCAGUUAAGAGGUGAACAAAGCAAGUCCGUGAAUAUUUCUGAAAAACAUGGGUAUAUAUUUCCCAAAGAGACAAUGGAAGAUUAAAAAAGGAGAAAAAAUGAAAAAGAAGAUUCAUGAUUCAAGAAAGAUAAAGAAGAAAAGGAUUAAAUUCCCACUCUGCUAACCAUCACACAAAAUGUUUUAUUGGCUUACUCCUAGCAAAUCUUAUAAUACAUUUUCAUUAUUUAUAGAAGUAAUUCUGUAUUAGUUUGCCAUAAAGAAAUUGGGCUGGACUGUUUUAAAAAUUACAGAAAUUAGAUGAAAUCAAGCUCUUUGAAUUAUCCAUGAGCAUUGGGUUAAUAUAAUCAAUACUUCAGCCAUUACAGGUUGACGUUACAUCUCAAGACAAUUUUCUAACUUAAUAAGAUUAGAAAUAAUAAACUGGUAUUAUUUCUUUGCGAAUUGGGGCCUCUGACCUAGUAAUUUAAUGGCUUCAUUAUUACAGCCAUGGAAUGUAGAAAGACCCAGCACGCUCCCUAUUAUCACAACUGUGCUUUGUCCAAAUUAUGUGACUUUUUAAAAAAAAGCUAAAU